Molecule: unclassified non-coding RNA, 200 nt
Filed under: soil metagenome
Description: partial contains internal transcribed spacer 2 and large subunit ribosomal RNA
Source: RNAcentral
GGCUCGCUUUAAAAUAAUUAGCUGGAUCCGUUCUGACCUGGUUCUACUCGGCGUAAUAAGUUAUUAUCGUCGAGGACGCCUAGCCUUCUAGGCAGGCGGCCACAGUAAGGGUGUUUGAACCGCUUCCAACACGUCUUGCUCUUGUAGCAAACACUUGAACUUCUGACCUCAAAUCAGGCAGGACUACCCGCUGAACUUAA